RNAcentral lists this ribosomal RNA (489 nucleotides) under uncultured bacterium. Its description in RNAcentral is "bacterial SSU rRNA". It matches the Rfam family "Bacterial small subunit ribosomal RNA", at positions 1034 to 1531 of the family's 1533-position model. The record is from RNAcentral.
ACAGGUGCUGCAUGGCUGUCGUCAGCUCGUGUCGUGAGAUGUCGGGUUAAGUCCCUUAACGAGCGAAACCUUUGCCCUUAGUUACCAGCGGGUUAUGCCGGGGACUCUAAGGGGACUGCCGGUGUCAAACCGGAGGAAGGUGGAGAUGACGUCAAGUCCUCAUGGCCUUUAUGCCCAGGGCCACACACGUGCUACAAUGGCGACGACAGAGCGAACCAAGAGCGCGAGCUGGAGGAAAUCGCAAAAACGUCGCCCCAGUUCGGAUUGGAGGCUGCAACUCGCCUCCAUGAAGGUGGAAUCGCUAGUAAUCGCGGAUCAGCUACGCCGCGGUGAAUAUGUUCCUGAGCCUUGUACACACCGCCCGUCAAGUCAUGGGAGCCGGGAAUAGCCGAAGUCGCCACAUCACGGUGGUGCCUACGCUAGGCUCGGUGACUGGGACUAAGUCGUAACAAGGUAGCCGUAGGGGAACCUGCGGCUGGAUCACCUCCU